RNAcentral lists this ribosomal RNA (253 nucleotides) under uncultured bacterium. Its description in RNAcentral is "partial 16S ribosomal RNA". It matches the Rfam family "Bacterial small subunit ribosomal RNA", at positions 524 to 776 of the family's 1533-position model. The record is from RNAcentral.
UACGUAGGGUGCGAGCGUUAAUCGGAAUUACUGGGCGUAAAGCGUGCGCAGGCGGUUUUGUAAGAUAGAUGUGAAAUCCCCGGGCUCAACCUGGGAAUUGCAUUUAUGACUGCAAGGCUAGAGUACGGUAGAGGGGGGUAGAAUUCCGCGUGUAGCAGUGAAAUGCGUAGAUAUGCGGAGGAACACCGAUGGCGAAGGCAGCCCCCUGGACCUGUACUGACGCUCAUGCACGAAAGCGUGGGGAGCAAACAGG